RNAcentral lists this ribosomal RNA (497 nucleotides) under uncultured bacterium. Its description in RNAcentral is "partial 16S ribosomal RNA". It matches the Rfam family "Bacterial small subunit ribosomal RNA", at positions 28 to 507 of the family's 1533-position model. The record is from RNAcentral.
GAUGAACGCUGGCGGCGUGCCUAAUACAUGCCAGUCGAGCGAACGGACGAGAAGCUUGCUUCUCUGAUGUUAGCGGCGGACGGGUGAGUAACACGUGGAUAACCUACCUAUAAGACUGGGAUAACUUCGGGAAACCGUAGCUAAUACCGGAUAAUAUUUUGAACCGCAUGGUUCAAAAGUGAAAGACGGUCUUGCUGUCACUUAUAGAUGGAUCCGCGCUGCAUUAGCUAGUUGGUAAGGUAACGGCUUACCAAGGCAACGAUGCAUAGCCGACCUGAGAGGGUGAUCGGCCACACUGGAACUGAGACACGGUCCAGACUCCUACGGGAGGCAGCAGUAGGGAAUCUUCCGCAAUGGGCGAAAGCCUGACGGAGCAACGCCGCGCGAGUGAUGAAGGUCUUCGGAUCGUAAAACUCUGUUAUUAGGGAAGAACAUAUGUGUAAGUAACUGUGCACAUCUUGACGGUACCUAAUCAGAAAGCCACGGCUAACUACGUG